UGGGGAAUAUUGGACAAUGGGCGAAAGCCUGAUCCAGCCAUGCCGCGUGUGUGAAGAAGGCCUUAUGGUUGUAAAGCACUUUAAGCGAGGAGGAGGGUACUGGUAUUAAUACUACCAGCUACUGGACGUUACUCGCAGAAUAAGCACCGGCUAACUCUGUGCCAGCAGCCGCGGUAAUACAGAGGGUGCGAGCGUUAAUCGGAUUUACUGGGCGUAAAGCGUGCGUAGGCGGCUAAUUGAGUCGGAUGUGAAAUCCCCGAGCUUAACUUGGGAAUUGCAUUCGAUACUGGUUAGCUAGAGUGUGGGAGAGGAUGGUAGAAUUCCAGGUGUAGCGGUGAAAUGCGUAGAGAUCUGGAGGAAUACCGAUGGCGAAGGCAGCCAUCUGGCCGAACACUGACGCUGAGGUACGAAAGAAUGGGGAGCAAACAGG
RNAcentral lists this ribosomal RNA (430 nucleotides) under Pseudomonadota bacterium. RNAcentral's name for it is "Proteobacteria bacterium partial 16S ribosomal RNA". It matches the Rfam family "Bacterial small subunit ribosomal RNA", at positions 355 to 776 of the family's 1533-position model. The record is from RNAcentral. Lineage: Bacteria; Pseudomonadati; Pseudomonadota.